RNAcentral lists this transfer RNA (73 nucleotides) under Ruminococcus sp. RNAcentral describes it as "tRNA-Arg". It matches the Rfam family "tRNA". From Rfam's summary of the family: Transfer RNA (tRNA) molecules are approximately 80 nucleotides in length. Their secondary structure includes four short double-helical elements and three loops (D, anti-codon, and T loops). The record is from RNAcentral. Lineage: Bacteria; Bacillati; Bacillota; Clostridia; Eubacteriales; Oscillospiraceae.
GCGCCGCUAGCUCAGUGGAUAGAGUAACCGGCUACGAACCGGUAGGUCGUGGGUUCAAAUCCCUCGCGGCGUG